Molecule: ribosomal RNA, 376 nt
Filed under: Bacillus subtilis
Lineage: Bacteria; Bacillati; Bacillota; Bacilli; Caryophanales; Bacillaceae
Description: bacterial SSU rRNA
Rfam family: Bacterial small subunit ribosomal RNA
Source: RNAcentral
GUUGUCGGGAUUAUUGGGCGUAAGGGCUCGCAGGCGGUUUCUUAAGUCUGAUGUGAAAGCCCCCGGCUCAACCGGGGAGGGUCAUUGGAAACUGGGGAACUUGAGUGCAGAAGAGGAGAGUGGAAUUCCACGUGUAGCGGUGAAAUGCGUAGAGAUGUGGAGGAACACCAGUGGCGAAGGCGACUCUCUGGUCUGUAACUGACGCUGAGGAGCGAAAGCGUGGGGAGCGAACAGGAUUAGAUACCCUGGUAGUCCACGCCGUAAACGAUGAGUGCUAAGUGUUAGGGGGUUUCCGCCCCUUAGUGCUGCAGCUAACGCAUUAAGCACUCCGCCUGGGGAGUACGGUCGCAAGACUGAAACUCAAAGGAAUUGACGG